CCUACGGGAGGCAGCAGUGGGGAAUAUUGGGCAAUGGGCGCAAGCCUGACCCAGCAACGCCGCGUGAAGGAAGAAGGCUUUCGGGUUGUUAACUUCUUUUCUGAGGGACGAAGAAAGUGACGGUACCUCAGGAAUAAGCCACGGCUAACUACGUGCCAGCAGCCGCAGUAAUACGUAGGUGGCAAGCGUUAUCCGGAUUUCUUGGGUGUAAAGGGCGUGUAGGCGGGAAAGCAAGUCCGAUGUGAAAAUUCAGGGCUCAACCCUGAGCCUGCAUUUGAAACUGUUUUUCUUGAGUGCAGGAGAGGCAAUCGGAAUUCGGGGUGUAGCGGUGAAAUGCGUAGAUAUACGGAGGAACACCAGUGGCGAAGGCGGAUUGCUGGACAGUAACUGACGCUGAGGCGCGAAAGCGUGGGGAGCAAACAGGAUUAGAUACCCUUGUAGUC
Molecule: ribosomal RNA, 443 nt
Filed under: uncultured bacterium
Lineage: Bacteria
Description: partial 16S ribosomal RNA
Rfam family: Bacterial small subunit ribosomal RNA
Source: RNAcentral